This 497-nucleotide ribosomal RNA is filed under the name uncultured bacterium. RNAcentral's name for it is "partial 16S ribosomal RNA". It matches the Rfam family "Bacterial small subunit ribosomal RNA", at positions 28 to 507 of the family's 1533-position model. The record is from RNAcentral.
GAUGAACGCUGGCGGCGUGCCUAACACAUGCAAGUAGAACGCUGAAGGAAGGAGCUUGCUCUUUCCGGAUGAGUUGCGAACGGGUGAGUAACGCGUAGGUAACCUGCCCGGUAGCGGGGGAUAACUAUUGGAAACGAUAGCUAAUACCGCAUAACAGUAGAUGUUGCAUGAUAUCUACUUAAAAGGUGCAAUUGCACCACUACCAGAUGGACCUGCGUUGUAUUAGCUAGUUGGUGAGGUAACGGCUCACCAAGGCGACGAUACAUAGCCGACCUGAGAGGGUGAUCGGCCACACUGGGACUGAGACACGGCCCAGACUCCUACGGGAGGCAGCAGUAGGGAAUCUUCGGCAAUGGACGGAAGUCUGACCGAGCAACGCCGCGUGAGUGAAGAAGGUUUUCGGAUCGUAAAGCUCUGUUGUAAGAGAAGAACGAGUGUGAGAGUGGAAAGUUCACACUGUGACGGUAUCUUACCAGAAAGGGACGGCUAACUACGUG